RNAcentral lists this ribosomal RNA (531 nucleotides) under uncultured bacterium. Its description in RNAcentral is "bacterial SSU rRNA". It matches the Rfam family "Bacterial small subunit ribosomal RNA", at positions 355 to 896 of the family's 1533-position model. The record is from RNAcentral.
UGGGGAAUAUUGCACAAUGGGCGGAAGCCUGAUGCAGCAACGCCGCGUGCGGGAUGACGGCCUUCGGGUUGUAAACCGCUUUCGCCUGUGACGAAGCGUGAGUGACGGUAAUGGAUAAAGAAGCACCGGCUAACUACGUGCCAGCAGCCGCGGUGAUACGUAGGGUGCGAGCGUUGUCCGGAUUUAUUGGGCGUAAAGGGCUCGUAGGUGGUUGAUCGCGUCGGAAGUGUAAUCUUGGGGCUUAACCCUGAGCGUGCUUUCGAUACGGGUUGACUUGAGGAAGGUAGGGGAGAAUGGAAUUCCUGGUGGAGCGGUGGAAUGCGCAGAUAUCAGGAGGAACACCAGUGGCGAAGGCGGUUCUCUGGGCCUUUCCUGACGCUGAGGAGCGAAAGCGUGGGGAGCGAACAGGCUUAGAUACCCUGGUAGUCCACGCUGUAAACGGUGGGUACUAGGUGUGGGGUCCAUUCCACGGGUUCCGUGCCGUAGCUAACGCUUUAAGUACCCCGCCUGGGGAGUACGGCCGCAAGGCUA